This 397-nucleotide ribosomal RNA is filed under the name uncultured bacterium. Its description in RNAcentral is "bacterial SSU rRNA". It matches the Rfam family "Bacterial small subunit ribosomal RNA", at positions 29 to 426 of the family's 1533-position model. The record is from RNAcentral.
AUUGAACGCUGGCGGCGUGCUUAACACAUGCAAGUCGUGCGGUAACAGGCGUAGCAAUACGUGCUGACGAGCGGCGAACGGGUGCGUAAUACAUGGGAAUCUGCCCUUUAGUGGGGAAUAACCCGGCGAAAGCCGGGCUAAUGCCGCAUAAGAUCUUCGGAUGAAAGCGGGGGAUCGUAAGACCUCGCGCUGAUGGAUGAGCCCAUGUCGGAUUAGCAGUUGGUGAGGUAACGGCUCACCAAGGCGACGAUCCGUAGCUGGUCUGAGAGGACGGCCAGCCACACUGGGACUGAGACACGGCCCAGACUCCUACGGGAGGCAGCAGUGGGGAAUAUUGGACAAUGGGCGAAAGCCUGAUCCAGCGACGCCGCGUGUGUGAAGAAGGCCCGCGGGUUGU